UGGAACUUGAGCUCUGUUAAGGGGAGAAGUUUUGUAAAGUUUUAUUAAAAGUACGCAAAAUUCCUGCGCCCGUUGCUCGUCAGGGAGGUGCUCCCGCCGAACUCGGCCCCGCGCCCAGGGCUCGCGGACGGCCAGACGCGGACGCGCGGCAGGGCCCCGAACGUCUUCAGGCCCCGCGCACGCCGCCGCUGCCGCGCGCCGGGACGUCGCCGCCCUCGAGCGCGAGCACGUGCGCGCGCACCGGCGAGCCGGCCUGAAGCUGCGGGAGGUCUCGAGCCUGCGGGGCGAGUUGCGAGCGAGUUUGGAGCGUUUCACUUGACCUUUUCUGCUGUGGGUGGCGUUCUGCAUGCACAAUUGGCCUUUAUACCCCAGGACGACGGAUUCCCGCAGGUUCACUAUCACUCUCGUUGACUGGUCGGCUGACACCCUGGAAAAGCUGAAACCUGAGAGCCUCUUAAUUUCACCUUGUUGUUUCUCGGGACACAUUCUUUCUCCAUAUACCACUAAAUCUGUGAUGUACUCUAUGUGGUGACCACUGUAGGAAUAACAGAUUGACAAAUGUAUUCUGUUCUGGAAGGAAUUUUUACUUGGAAAAGACUCUCAAGGCAAUUUGAGACUAUAAAUUGAUGAGGUGGUCAUAUUUUUUAUUUUUUAUUCAGUGUUUUUAUUUUAUUUUUUUAAUUUUUUUUUAUUCAGUGUUUUUAAAUUUGACUGUUACUGUGCGUUUUACUGUCUCCCAUGUGACUUAAUCAGUGCUGGAAACUCUGGGCCAAGCAAUACACUGUCAGUUGUCCAAGAGUGGAGUUGCUGAAUGAUCCCGCCUGCUUCAUUGGAAGAUGCCACUAGAAGAGGGCAGUUUGGAACUCGUCGUUUCUCUGGGAGACAAAGAAGCUUCCCUCUGAAGUUAAAUCACAUUAUUUGGUAUACGUACUGUGAACUCUUGGGAGAGUUUGAACAACCUGGCGAGAUCUGAUUUGACUUGAAACCUGGAACAUGGUUGUGUUCUUUUAUUUCAUUUGUUGUUUGAUUUAAGGGUCAGCAUUACUGACCACUGUCCCCAGUACGUUUCCACCACUCUGAGGGCUAGAAGUAGAGGAAUCUGCCCUGAUGGUCUGGGGAAAGAACCACAGACCUAAAGUGAACAGGUACAUCAUCAUCAUGAGUCAUCAGUUGUCUGGUGACACUCAUUUGAAUAGCACAACCCACAGGGAUUCAAGGUUAAAACACAACAUGUAAGGGGGCGCCUGGGUGGUUCAGUGGGUUAGGCCGCUGCCUUCAGCUCAGGUCAUGAUCUCAGGGUCCUGGGAUCGAGCCCCGCAUCGGGCUCUCUGCUCAGCAGGGAGCCUGCU
Lutra lutra (Eurasian river otter) is the source of this 1349-nucleotide long non-coding RNA. RefSeq lists it as uncharacterized. Lineage: Eukaryota; Metazoa; Chordata; Mammalia; Carnivora; Mustelidae. The transcript has 3 exons. The record is from RefSeq and is a predicted model, not a curated record.